UCCCGGCUAGCUCUGUUGGUAGAGCACGAGACUCAUAAUCUCGGGGUAGUGGGUUCAUGUCCCACGGCGGGUG
Transfer RNA from Lepisosteus oculatus (spotted gar), 73 nucleotides. It matches the Rfam family "tRNA". Rfam says of the family: Transfer RNA (tRNA) molecules are approximately 80 nucleotides in length. Their secondary structure includes four short double-helical elements and three loops (D, anti-codon, and T loops). The record is from Rfam. Lineage: Eukaryota; Metazoa; Chordata; Actinopteri; Semionotiformes; Lepisosteidae.